UUAUUGGAGAGUUUGAUCCUGGCUCAGGACGAACGCUGGCGGCGUGCCUAAUACAUGCAAGUCGAGCGAACCUCUGGGAGCUUGCUCCCAGAGGUUAGCGGCGGACGGGUGAGUAACACGUGGGUAACCUGCCUGUAAGAUUGGGAUAACUCCGGGAAACCGGAGCUAAUACCGGAUAACAUUUUGAUCCGCAUGGUUCAAAAUUGAAAGAUGGUUUCGGCUAUCACUUACAGAUGGACCCGCGGCGCAUUAGCUAGUUGGUGAGGUAACGGCUCACCAAGGCAACGAUGCGUAGCCGACCUGAGAGGGUGAUCG
Molecule: non-coding RNA, 315 nt
Filed under: Metabacillus litoralis
Lineage: Bacteria; Bacillati; Bacillota; Bacilli; Caryophanales; Bacillaceae
Description: Bacillus litoralis Bacterial small subunit ribosomal RNA
Rfam family: Bacterial small subunit ribosomal RNA
Source: Rfam by way of RNAcentral